Molecule: long non-coding RNA, 1172 nt
Organism: Stegostoma tigrinum
Lineage: Eukaryota; Metazoa; Chordata; Chondrichthyes; Orectolobiformes; Stegostomatidae
Exons: 3
Source: RefSeq, a predicted model, not a curated record
GCCCCCAAUAAAGAUGGUGACGGUCACACGGGCCUAUCGCCAUCUGAGGCGUUGAUUUGUUUUCUGCAAACGUGAGUCUGGGAGUUUCAAAUGGGUGUGUUUUCCGACGUGCACUAACUGUUUGUAAAACUUCCAAACCCAUACGAAUAUCACUUCCCUCCAGCUUUCUACCGUUUUGCUUUCUUUACUGUGGCCUGCUCUUACCUCAAUUGCACAAAUCUUGGUCUCAGCGAAGGAUCUAGGCCCGAAACGUCAGCUUUCCUGCUGUGUACAUCCAGCUGCACACCGUGUUAUCUCGGAUUCUCCAGCAUCUGCAGUUCCGGUUAUCUCAGCGACUCUGCACCGCACUCGUGGAUGAUCACGUGGUUUUCACUGAUCCCGCCCUCCCUUCAUUCCGAUUGGGCGACAUCCGUCCGGUCAUGCACGGCACACCUGUGCUCCUAUUGGUCGCGCACUGACAUCAAUCAGCCGGACUUCACUGUGAGCUGGAGCAUGCGCAGUGCUUUGUGUUAUUGUUGGAAGCAAAUGAACGUCGUCGCAAUGUUGCAUUUUGAGACGAAUGAGACUGAAAACUGGAUCUGUCUUUUUACCUUCACAGAUGCUGCCAGACCUGCUGAGCUUUUCCAGCAACUUUGUUUUUGUUCCUGAUUGACAACAUCCCAGUUCUUUUGUUAUUUUUUAAUAAGUCGCGAUUGAAAAGGCUUCCGGCAGCUCAAAGCUAAAGACCAGAAAUAUGUGUGAAUUUCCACAUUGCUGUUUGUCCUUCCACUUGAGGAGGAGCAUUUGGAAUGGCAGGAAGCAGCUGACAUCAGUGAUGUUUGGCUGGAAGUACAAGGUGAAGCAGGAAAACUGCAGUAUGUUUCAGCAAUGCUUUUAAAACAAAAAUCGUAUCAUCUGAUUAAAUCAACGUGGUCAAUCCAGAAGAAGACAUUCCAUGAUGGAGACAGGGCAGUUGCAGGUAAGUUCAAGGUCACCCUGGGGCCAGGCAUGUUUGACAAUUUCAUUCCUUUUUCAGAGUCAAACAAGUGAGGUCGCAAAGAGGAAACCAACAGCUGCAUAACACCUGGAUCCCCAAGAGGCAUUUUGUAGGGUGUCACACUGGUGGCUAAUAGAUAAGAUAAGGGCUCUGGAACUGAAGGUAAUGUAUGAGCAUGAAUAGAGAGUUGGUGAAC